This 72-nucleotide transfer RNA is filed under the name Bacteriophage sp. RNAcentral's name for it is "tRNA-Asn". It matches the Rfam family "tRNA". From Rfam's summary of the family: Transfer RNA (tRNA) molecules are approximately 80 nucleotides in length. RNAcentral also lists the same sequence under 1 other name. The record is from RNAcentral.
UGGCAUAUAGUUCAGAGGCAGAACGCUUGGCCGUUAACCAAGAUGUCGCUGGUUCGAUUCCGGCUAUGCCAG